RNAcentral lists this ribosomal RNA (497 nucleotides) under uncultured bacterium. Its description in RNAcentral is "partial 16S ribosomal RNA". It matches the Rfam family "Bacterial small subunit ribosomal RNA", at positions 28 to 507 of the family's 1533-position model. The record is from RNAcentral.
GAUGAACGCUGGCGGCGUGCCUAAUACAUGCAAGUCGAGCGAACAGAUGAGGAGCUUGCUCCUCUGACGUUAGCGGCGGACGGGUGAGUAACACGUGGAUAACCUACCUAUAAGACUGGGAUAACUUCGGGAAACCGGAGCUAAUACCGGAUAAUAUAUUGAACCGCAUGGUUCAAUAGUGAAAUACGGUUUUGCUGUCACUUAUAGAUGGAUCCGCGCCGCAUUAGCUAGUUGGUAAGGUAACGGCUUACCAAGGCAACGAUGCGUAGCCGACCUGAGAGGGUGACGGGCCACACUGGACCGGAGACACGGUCCAGACUCCUCCGGGAGGCAGCAGUAGGGAAUCUUCCGCAAUGGGCGAAAGCCUGCCGGAGCAACGCCGCGUGAGUGAUGAAGGUCUUCGGAUCGUAAAACUCUGUUAUUAGGGAAGAACAAAUGUGUAAGUAACUAUGCACGUCUUGACGGUACCUAAUCAGAAAGCCACGGCUAACUACGUG